RNAcentral lists this long non-coding RNA (2999 nucleotides) under Capsicum annuum. RNAcentral describes it as "long non-coding RNA (CANN_LNC013129)". The record is from RNAcentral. Lineage: Eukaryota; Viridiplantae; Streptophyta; Magnoliopsida; Solanales; Solanaceae.
UAGAAAUCCUUAAUAACCUUCGCUGCAAAAACCUUGCAGAUUUUAGGUGGUAUAAAGAUACCUUCCUUAUUAAGGUUAUGAUCAGGCCGGAUUGCAAUAAUGACUUCUGGAAAGAACGAUUCAUUAGCGGUCUUCCUCCAUUGUUUGCAGAUAAAGUGCGAACAAAACUUAAGGAUAGAUUCGAAGGUCAAAUUCCUUACAAUAUCCUUACCUAUGGGGACUUAGUAAGUUUCAUUACCACCACCGGUAUAGAACUUUGUACCGAUCUCAAGCUUAAGCAACAACUUAAGCAAAACAGUAAAUAUGGCCUAAGGACUUUCUGCCAUGACUACGGCUUUACUGAUCUCACUGAUCAAAGAAAGCACAAGAAGACUCCUUCCAGGCCUCACAAGAGGACCUACCCUCAUAAGGAACCUUCGCAUAAAAAGCCUUAUAAACCCCGCCGAAAAGCUAAACGGAAAGUCUUCCAAAACCUCCAAAGAUACCUGCUGGACUUGUGGAAGCAAAAACUUUGCAGACUUUAGGUGGUAUAAGGAUACCUUUCUUAUUAAGGUUAUGAUCAGGCCAGACUGCAAUAAUGACUUCUGGAAAGAACGAUUCAUUAGUGGUCUUCCUCCUUUGUUUGCCGAUAAAGUGCGCACAAAACUUAAGGAUAGAUUCGAAGGUCAAAUUCCUUACAAUAUCCUUACCUAUGGAGACUUAGUAAGUUUCAUUACCACCACCGGUAUAGAACUUUGUACCGAUCUCAAGCUUAAGCAACAACUUAAGCAAAACAGUAAAUAUGGCCUAAGGACUUUCUGCCAUGACUACGGCUUUACUGAUCUCACUGAUCAAAGAAAGCACAAGAAGACUCCUUCCAGGCCUCCCAAAAGGACCUACCCUCAUAAGGAACCUUCAAAUAAGAAGUCUUAUAAACCCCGCCGAAAGACUAAACGAAAGUCUUCCAAAACCUCCAAAGAUACCUGCUGGACUUGUGGAAAAACCGGCCAUAGGGCAAAAGAUUGUACAUCUGGUAAAAAGAAAAAGAUCAAUCUACUUGAUCUAACAGAUGAAACCAAAGAAAAGCUUUUUUCCAUUAUGGACGAUUCCUCUGGAGCCUCUGACUCCUACUCUUCCUCUGAAGAUGAUUACAGCGACGAAGAUUUUAUCAACGCCGCUUAUGAGUCUGAUAGUUCCCAAUCCGGGCAAGAUUGUGAGUGCAAUGGCACUUUCUGUACCUGCUCAAAGAAAAUCAUCAAUGUCAUUACCGAUAAACCAAAAGAAAUUUUGUUUGACAUCAUCGAGCAUAUUGAUGACGAAGAGCUUAGGAACAAGUACCUUCAGGAACUCAAACGACUUGUGCUUUCUCACGACGAAGGCACUCCUAAAGCAAAGCCUAUCGUUCAGCCUUUCUCCAUGAAACGAGUUAUGGCCAAAUUUAAUACUCCUUCUGAACCUUCUAUAUCAGAUCUUAAGGGCGAAAUCUCCAAUUUGAAAGGAGAAAUUAAAAGCCUUAAGAACCGACUUAAUCAGGUCGAACUCCAUGUUCUAACGGAACAAGUCUUACAAUCAGCCUCACCAAAGGCCUCUCUUCCUACGUCCCCACCUGCUACGAUCGACCUUCCAACUAAUCAUCCCAGAGAACCAAUUUCUUUUCCCGGUGAAGAAAUCCCUGCUAUUCCCUCUACCUCCAAAACUGUAGCAGCCAUUAAAGCUUACAGUGAACACAUUGCCAUCAAAAUUGUUAUUGACAAAGACUUUGUAAUAAACAAAGUCGCUCUCUUUGACACUGGCGCCGACAGUAACUGUAUUGUCAAAGGCCUGGUUCCAACUCGGUAUCUCCAAAAGAGCACCUCGCGCCUCUACUCCGCUACAGGUGAAAAAAUGAAGAUUAAUUACCAGCUUAAAAAGGCUCAUGUCUGUAACAAUGGCGUAUGCCUAGUUAAUGACUUUGUUAUUACCGAAGAUAUCACAGAGGAUAUCAUUCUGGGAAUACCUUUCAUUAACCAAAUUAGACCUUAUUUGAGUGACUUUGAUGGUAUUCACUCAACGUUGUUAGAUACUGAACUUUUUUUCCCCUUACUUCGCCCGCUCUCCUCUAACGAGCAACAGCGUAUCAAGGAAGACACCGUUUUUAAAAUAAACCGCCUUUCUUCCCACCUACUGUUUCUCAAACAGGACAUCCAGCUCAAACAUAUUGAGCACACUUUAACCACCCCGGAGAUGAUCAAACAGAUCUCUCUACUCCAAAACAAGUUCGAAAAUGAAAUUUGCUCUGAAUUGCCUAACGCAUUUUGGGAACGCAAAAGACAUCUUGUUGAACUUCCCUAUAUCCCUGGAUUUGACGAACAGGAUAUUCCUACAAAAUCCAGACCAAUCCAAAUGAAUCAGGAGAUGAUGGAAAUCUGCAAAACCGAAAUUAACCAUCUCCUAGCCAAAGGCAUUAUUCGUCACUCAAAUUCUCCUUGGAGCUGCUCUGCCUUUUAUGUUAAUAAUAGCGCAGAAAAGGAACGAGGAACUCCUAGACUUGUUAUAAACUACAAGCCCUUGAAUGCUGUCCUAAAAUGGAUCAGACACCCUAUCCCAAACAAAAGGGAUCUCCUCAAACGCACUUACAAAGCCAACCUUUACAGUAAGUUCGAUAUGAAAUCGGGGUUUUGGCAAAUUCAAAUUGCUGAAACUGACAAAUAUAAGACUGUAUUCAACGUCCCUUUCGGGCAUUAUGAAUGGAACGUCUUACUCUUUGGGCUUAAAAAUGCUCCUUCCGAAUUUCAAAAUAUUAUGAAUAAUAUUUUUAAUAAUUAUUCAUACAUGUCUAUAGUCUAUAUUGAUGAUAUUUUAAUCUUUUCUGAAAAUAUUGAUUCGCAUUUCAAGCAUCUUAAUACUUUCUUUAAGAUUGUAAAAUCAAAUGGUUUGGUCAUCAGUGCUAAAAAGAUGAUAGGGUAGGCCUGGCCUGGCCUCGGGCGCAGUUCGGGCGGGGGCCUAGGCUCGGGCGCGGUCCUAGGUCCAGGAGGGGAAGG